GCGGAAGUGGUGGAACUGGUAGACACACCAUCUUGAGGGGGUGGCGGCGAAAGCCGUGCGGGUUCAAAUCCCGCCUUCCGCA
RNAcentral lists this transfer RNA (82 nucleotides) under candidate division Zixibacteria bacterium SM23_73_3. RNAcentral's name for it is "tRNA-Leu". It matches the Rfam family "tRNA". From Rfam's summary of the family: Transfer RNA (tRNA) molecules are approximately 80 nucleotides in length. Their secondary structure includes four short double-helical elements and three loops (D, anti-codon, and T loops). RNAcentral also lists the same sequence under 2 other names. Lineage: Bacteria; Pseudomonadati; Candidatus Zixiibacteriota. The record is from RNAcentral.